AAUCAUUAUAAUUUCAAUCCGCGACAGUAUCAGUUGGAAUUAGUUGGAAUUGGUCGGAAUCUUGCCAAAAUGCGUGUUUUAGGACCAAACUAUAAUACCAAUCCCGCAGUUUCAUAUUAAUCUGACACUGCAAUCGAACAACGAAAAAUUCGUUGGCUCGAGCGGGAUUUGAACUCGCAUCUUCGGGUAUCUAGACCGCCGCUCUACCCAUUGAGCUAUCGAGUCAACAGGGAUUGGUAGCGAGUCUUAUCCAAUUUAAGUGCACGAAAUAUUUUCGUGACUAGUUUUUCCUAUCUCUGAGGAUGGUUCUGAAAUCCCGCAGUUAUUAUACUAAUUGAGAUUGGGAUCUUACCAAAAUCACGCCAAAAUGCAGGGUUUUUUGUGCGUAGCCGCGGAUGCACAGCUAACCACUAUGUGAGAGACUGAAGCGCGAUCUUCCGUGGCUCUGUUUCUCUGUGGCUCUGUAGCCUUCGUGUCCGCGGUGUCCUGCUGCGCAGUUCCUUUUAUCCUUGGAAGUUGGAAUACGAACCGUCUAUAGACCACAGGCUACGUUCACUAACGCUCAUACUGUACAGAGAUGUGUAUAAAUUCUUAAUAAAGUUUUUAUUGUAAUGUGUUUUGUCAGGUCGAUAGUCAUUUCCAACGCAUAUAGAAUCGAAUAUGUCGUUGUUUUU
Paramuricea clavata is the source of this 674-nucleotide non-coding RNA. Lineage: Eukaryota; Metazoa; Cnidaria; Anthozoa; Malacalcyonacea; Plexauridae. The record is from the annotation of a GenBank genome assembly.